Molecule: small nucleolar RNA, 132 nt
Organism: Manis pentadactyla (Chinese pangolin)
Lineage: Eukaryota; Metazoa; Chordata; Mammalia; Pholidota; Manidae
Source: RefSeq, a predicted model, not a curated record
GCGCUGCCUUUGAGCCCCCGCUGCGCCUGCGCGUGGCGCCGGGGGUCAGGCUGCAGCGCCAGAGCACGUGCUUGCGCAUAACUGGGGCCGCCUGCCUGCCGCGGGCCGCCCUUUUAAUCGUGAGCUACACGC